This 497-nucleotide ribosomal RNA is filed under the name uncultured Desemzia sp. RNAcentral describes it as "partial 16S ribosomal RNA". Lineage: Bacteria; Bacillati; Bacillota; Bacilli; Lactobacillales; Carnobacteriaceae. The record is from RNAcentral.
CACGUAGUUAGCCAUGGCUUUCUGGUUAGAUACCGUCAAGGGAUGAACAGUUACUCUCAUCCUUGUUCUUCUCUAACAACAGAGUUUUACGAUCCGAAAACCUUCUUCACUCACGCGGCGUUGCUCCGUCAGACUUUCGUCCAUUGCGGAAGAUUCCCUACUGCUGCCUCCCGUAGGAGUCUGGGCCGUGUCUCAGUCCCAGUGUGGCCGAUCACCCUCUCAGGUCGGCUACGCAUCAUCGUCUUGGUGAGCCAUUACCUCACCAACUAACUAAUGCGCCGCGGGUCCAUCUACAAGUGACAGCCGAAGCCGUCUUUCUUCCCAAUGCCAGGAGGCAUUAAGAUCUAUGCGGUAUUAGCAUCCGUUUCCGAAUGUUAUCCCCCGCUUAUAGGUAGGUUACCCACGUUGUUACUCACCCGUCCGCCACUCUUCUUUCUCGGUGCAAGCACCGAUAGGAAGCGUUCGACUUGCAUGUAUUAGGCACGCCGCCAGCGUCU